RNAcentral lists this ribosomal RNA (254 nucleotides) under uncultured bacterium. RNAcentral's name for it is "partial 16S ribosomal RNA". It matches the Rfam family "Bacterial small subunit ribosomal RNA", at positions 524 to 776 of the family's 1533-position model. The record is from RNAcentral.
UACGUAGGGAGCAAGCGUUGUUCGGAUUUACUGGGCGUAAAGGGCGCGUAGGCGGCAAAUUAAGUCAGCUGUGAAAUCUCCGAGCUUAACUCGGAACGGUCAGCUGAUACUGAUCUGCUAGAGUGCGGAAGGGGCAAUCGGAAUUCUUGGUGUAGCGGUGAAAUGCGUAGGUAUCAAGAGGAACACCUGAGGUGAAGACGGGUUGCUGGGCCGACACUGACGCUGAGUGCGCGAAAGCCAGGGGAGCAAACGGG